RNAcentral lists this ribosomal RNA (253 nucleotides) under uncultured bacterium. RNAcentral's name for it is "partial 16S ribosomal RNA". It matches the Rfam family "Bacterial small subunit ribosomal RNA", at positions 524 to 776 of the family's 1533-position model. The record is from RNAcentral.
UACGAGGGGGGCAAGCGUUGUUCGGAAUUAUUGGGCCUAAAGCAUCCGUAGCCGGUCCUACAAGUCUUCCGUUAAAUCCACCUGCUUAACAGAUGGGCUGCGGAAGAUACUAUAGGGCUAGGAGGCGGGAGAGGCAAGCGGUACUCAGUGGGUAGGGGUAAAAUCCUCUGAUCCAUUGAAGACCACCAGUGGCGAAGGCGGCUUGCCAGAACGCGCUCGACGGUGAGGGAUGAAAGCUGGGGGAGCAAACCGG